AAGUCAGUAACAAGGUUUCCGUAGGUGAACCUGCGGAAGGAUCAUUACCGAGUUCUCCUGCUCUGCAGGAACUCCCACCCUUGAUUACUAUAGCGUUGCUUCGGCGAGACGCUGGAAACAGCCGAUUUACCUCUCACCGUCGAUGCGUGCUCGCCGGAGUUUCAAUACUCAUACAUUAUGUGUCGAUCAGAGAAUCAAAAAUUCUAAAAAA
Molecule: unclassified non-coding RNA, 211 nt
Filed under: plant metagenome
Description: partial contains small subunit ribosomal RNA and internal transcribed spacer 1
Rfam family: Eukaryotic small subunit ribosomal RNA (bases 1-47)
Source: RNAcentral